Oryctolagus cuniculus (rabbit) is the source of this 129-nucleotide small nucleolar RNA. Lineage: Eukaryota; Metazoa; Chordata; Mammalia; Lagomorpha; Leporidae. The record is from Ensembl.
UGCAUCUGCGCUUGCUUACCACUGCUGUGUCCUCACACCCUGUAGAAAGAAGAGGCAGAGUAGACCUCCCCGGUGUACACCCCAGCUCAGGCUUUGCGCUUGGUCUGUACUGUGAAUAGGGGGACAUGG